AUAUAUAUAUAUAUAUAUAGAGUGUAAAGCUACUAUGGUAUUGGAAGUAUAAAUGAUUUGGUACUUCCGAUUAUUUGACUCUUGGAUUAAGAAUUAUACGAGUGGGAUGAUUGCGGUCCUCCCUAGUAUUGAAUAGUAUUCGUAGGAUUACGUGGUCCCUAUAAGGUAAUAGUAUUAAUCUAAAAAUUAGAAAUGAUUAAAGAGACAGCUCUAAAUGCAAGGAGUCAGAAGCACCAAAUUAUAUAUAUAUAAAGUUGAGCCUCUAUACUUUUAAAAAUUCUUGAGUUAUUGGUACUUCUAGAUUUUGAAUUUUUUGAUUAAGAGAUGUGUGAUUAGGAUGAUAGUGAUUUUUCAGGGUUGAGUUGGUGGCUGAUUGAAUAGGAUGAUCUAAUGGGUGAAAAUAGUCAAAAAAAAUUAGAUCUAACGAAAGAAAAUUUAUAAACAUAAGUUGUUUGUGCUUUUAAAAAUAUCAUAUCCGAACUCUCUCUCUCUCUCUCUCUCUCUAUAUAUAUAAACUAAGCUCUUAUAUUUUUGAAAAUAACAAGGCAUUGUUGUUGGUAGGUUUUCCAAAUUUCAAUCAAAAUUUGUAAUGUUAAAAUAAUAAUAGCUUUCUAAGAUUAAGGCUUCAUUUGGAAUUACGAGGAUAUUCCGUUACGUGCGGUGAGAAAAAAGUACGUUGGAAAAAUAUCCUGUUUGUUUUCGUACGUAAUAUUGCGUUAUGCAUAUCGCGAUGAGUCGGUUACGAUAUAUUUUCUGUGGUCCCACCGGAGAACGCAAAAAUAUAUUCCUAUAUAUUUUUUUCCCAGCUCUAUUUUAUCUAAUAGCGUUAAAUAGACCUCAAUACCAAACUAAGCCUAAGUUAGUGGUCCAUAGAAUAAUAUAAUCUAAAAAGUAAAUUGGUCCAAUGGAUAGAAUAAUUAUGAAAGAUUGAAGUAAAAUAAAAAGUUAAAUUACAAAAAAAUUCUGUCAAAAUUCGAUUUUUCAUUUUUUUUUUCUGUCAUUUAAAAAUCUACACUUUAUCCUCUUGUAAAAUAAAAAAUAUUCACGAGAAAUACGGUGUGAACUGUGAUGACAAAAUGAUUAUUUUGCCCCUCACUAUUUUGCCCUCACCAUGUUCACAGGAGAGAAGGCUGAGGAUAUUUUUAUAUAAAAAUAUAUAUAAUAUUAUUUAUAAACGGAACCCUAAUGAAUUACUAACGGCAAAGGUUAAAGUGAAUAUUUUUUAUUUUAUAAGGGGACAGAGUAUAUAUAUAUUUUUAAAUGAUAUAGAAAAAAAAUAAAAAAUUAAAUUUUGACAGUAAUUUGGCCAAAAUAAAAUAUUAUUUAUUAUAAUUAUUGUGAUUGUGAUGGGAAGAAACUUCAAAAACAAGAGGCUGGACUCGGGAGUGUGUGCCGAUCGACUGCCAGCCACCAUGUGGGGUUGGUGGAUAAUUUGAGCACGUUGGAGUUGAAUAGGUUUUAAUUUGAGAGCGUUGAGAUUCCCUUCUUUUUCUUAUUAAUUGUGUUCUUUUGUUAUCAUAUAUUAAUUUAUGAGAAUUCAAUUCAUUUUGAAAAGGAUUUGGAAAAAGUUUUCUUAAGAGAAAUAUCAAGUCCAUAUGUAUAUAAUACGGCUAAACCUGGUAACUUGAAUAUAAUAUUUAGGUAAUAAUUAGAUUCAAGAAGUUAAAAACGUUAAGCGCAAGUAAAGCGAUAUAAUUAGUAUUAAAGCUAAUUAACAACGAAAAGUGUACUUAAAGGAGGGAGAAUGUGACACACUAGAAUUUGGAUUAGUUCUAUAUAAAAAAUAUAAUAUUACUAAAUCUCUGAGUCCGUCUAUAGUAUUUUGGAUGGUGCCUAGAGCCAAUCACCAGCCGAAAAUAUGAGAUAUGAGAUAAGUCGUUAGGACGGAGAAAAUAUAACACUCUAGGAUUUAAAAUAGUCAUAUAUAUAAAAGAUAUAAUACCGCUAAAUAUUUUAAUCCAGUUAUAGUAUUUGAAAUAGUUCUAUACGAUAAUAUGGCUAAAUCUCUUAAUUCGGCUAUAAUAUUUUGAAUAAUCUUAUAUAUUAGAUGUAAUAGGACUAAACCUGUUUAUCCGACUAUAGUAUUUUAAAUUUUUGGACAGUAGUUAGGUUCAAGAGAUUAAUAGAAUUGAGGAUGGCUAGAAUUUAAAAUAAUUUUUAGAGGAUGGUGUUGUAGAAUUACGGCGCAUGCUUGCAUUGUAAAUUAACCUAACAUUGUUUAUUUAUAGAUAAAUAAGAUGAACAUUUGUUUGACGGUCAUGCGCUUAAAACAAGAAAGAAAAAAAUUAAUAUGCUAAAUUACAGAAAAUUUCCAUAUCAAUAUUCUUUUUUAUUUUUUUUUUUCCUUGUCAUUCAAAAAUUUGCACUUUGCUCUCUUAAAAAAUAAAAAAUAUUCAUUUUGACUCCCGUAUUUAGAGGCCGUUUGGUUGGAUGUAGUUGCAGAAACAGUGUAGUUGGAAAUACAUGUAGUUGCAAAUGCUGCAGUUAUAACUACACCUAGUCUGUUUGGUUUUACGCAGUUGCAACUGCUGCAAUUAUAUUUCUUCUGUUUGGUAAUAUGAAGCUGAUAGUUGUAUAUAUGAAUUUUGUCACCUCUUCAGAUAGAGUAGUGAGGUCACCUUCACUAAACAUAAAAUAAUUGUAUAAAUUUAUUAAUUAUUUAAAUUUACUAUUUAUAAAUAAAUAAGUAGAUAUAUAUAAUAUUUUUAUAUUUUUCAAUAAUUCUUCAACUUAUUAAUCGACACAUUUAAAAUUUUUAAUUUAUUUAAUUUUAAUAUGUAAAUCAAACUUUAAAAAUUUAAACGAUUCUCUCAUUUUUUUUUAUCAAUUUUAAUAAUUAUAAUUAAUUAAAACUUAUUAAAUUAACAUACACGAUCACAUUCUAUAAAACAUUUAGAAAAAAAAAACUAUAUUUAUAUUUUAAAUA
Molecule: long non-coding RNA, 2926 nt
Filed under: Ananas comosus (pineapple)
Lineage: Eukaryota; Viridiplantae; Streptophyta; Magnoliopsida; Poales; Bromeliaceae
Description: long non-coding RNA (ACOM_LNC001541)
Source: RNAcentral